Molecule: ribosomal RNA, 428 nt
Filed under: uncultured bacterium
Lineage: Bacteria
Description: bacterial SSU rRNA
Rfam family: Bacterial small subunit ribosomal RNA
Source: RNAcentral
GUAGGGAAUAUUGCACAAUGGGGGAAACCCUGAUGCAGCGACGCCGCGUGAGUGAUGAAGGCCUUCGGGUCGUAAAGCUCUGUCGUAUGGGACUAACAAAAUGAAGGUACCAUGCAAGAAAGGAUCGGCUAACUUCGUGCCAGCAGCCGCGGUAAGACGAGGGAUCCUAGCGUUGUUCGGAAUUAUUGGGCGUAAAGCGGGUGUAGGCGGGCCUGUCAGUCAGGUGUGAAAUCCCAGGGCUUAACCCUGGAAGUGCACUUGAUACUGCAGGUCUUGAGUGUGGUAGAGGCUAUUAGAAUUCUUGGUGUAGUGGUGAAAUACGUAGAUAUCAAGAGGAAUACCGGAGGCGAAGGCGGAUAGCUGGGCCAACACUGACGCUGAGACCCGAAAGCGUGGGGAUCAAACAGGAUUAGAUACCCUAGUAGUCC